This 73-nucleotide transfer RNA is filed under the name Sphaerodactylus townsendi. Its description in RNAcentral is "tRNA-Ala". It matches the Rfam family "tRNA". Rfam says of the family: Transfer RNA (tRNA) molecules are approximately 80 nucleotides in length. Their secondary structure includes four short double-helical elements and three loops (D, anti-codon, and T loops). Lineage: Eukaryota; Metazoa; Chordata; Lepidosauria; Squamata; Sphaerodactylidae. The record is from RNAcentral.
GGGGGCAGUGGCUCAGUGGUAGAUCAUUGGCUUGGCAUGAAGAUGGUCCCAGGUUCGAUUCCUGGCAUCCCCA